Molecule: ribosomal RNA, 1096 nt
Filed under: Salmonella enterica subsp. enterica serovar Enteritidis
Lineage: Bacteria; Pseudomonadati; Pseudomonadota; Gammaproteobacteria; Enterobacterales; Enterobacteriaceae
Description: partial 23S ribosomal RNA
Rfam family: Bacterial large subunit ribosomal RNA
Source: RNAcentral
UGAACCGUUAUAACCGGCGAUACCCGAAUGGGGAAACCCAGUGUGACUCGUCACACUAUCAUUAACUGAAUCCAUAGGUUAAUGAGGCGAACCGGGGGAACUGAAACAUCUAAGUACCCCGAGGAAAAGAAAUCAACCGAGAUUCCCCCAGUAGCGGCGAGCGAACGGGGAGGAGCCCAGAGCCUGAAUCAGCAUGUGUGUUAGUGGAAGCGUCUGGAAAGGCGCGCGAUACAGGGUGACAGCCCCGUACACAAAAGCGCAUGUGCUGUGAGCUCGAUGAGUAGGGCGGGACACGUGGUAUCCUGUCUGAAUAUGGGGGGACCAUCCUCCAAGGCUAAAUACUCCUGACUGACCGAUAGUGAACCAGUACCGUGAGGGAAAGGCGAAAAGAACCCCGGCGAGGGGAGUGAAAAAGAACCUGAAACCGUGUACGUACAAGCAGUGGGAGCACCCUUUGGGUGUGACUGCGUACCUUUUGUAUAAUGGGUCAGCGACUUAUAUUCUGUAGCAAGGUUAACCGAAUAGGGGAGCCGGAGGGAAACCGAGUCUUAAUUGGGCGUUAAGUUGCAGGGUAUAGACCCGAAACCCGGUGAUCUAGCCAUGGGCAGGUUGAAGGUUGGGUAACACUAACUGGAGGACCGAACCGACUAAUGUUGAAAAAUUAGCGGAUGACCUGUGGCUGGGGGUGAAAGGCCAAUCAAACCGGGAGAUAGCUGGUUCUCCCCGAAAGCUAUUUAGGUAGCGCCUCGUGAAUUCAUCUCCGGGGGUAGAGCACUGUUUCGGCUAGGGGGCCAUCCCGGCUUACCAACCCGAUGCAAACUGCGAAUACCGGAGAAUGUUAUCACGGGAGACACACGGCGGGUGCUAACGUCCGUCGUGAAGAGGGAAACAACCCAGACCGCCAGCUAAGGUCCCAAAGUCAUGGUUAAGUGGGAAACGAUGUGGGAAGGCCCAGACAGCCAGGAUGUUGGCUUAGAAGCAGCCAUCAUUUAAAGAAAGCGUAAUAGCUCACUGGUCGAGUCGGCCUGCGCGGAAGAUGUAACGGGGCUAAACCAUGCACCGAAGCUGCGGCAGCGACACUGUGUGUUGUUGGGUA